RNAcentral lists this ribosomal RNA (688 nucleotides) under Nasutitermes sp. 2a VR-2013. RNAcentral describes it as "partial 16S ribosomal RNA". The stretch from base 294 to 502 matches the Rfam family "Bacterial large subunit ribosomal RNA", at positions 1697 to 2031 of the family's 2925-position model. Lineage: Eukaryota; Metazoa; Arthropoda; Insecta; Blattodea; Termitidae. The record is from RNAcentral.
UUUAAUUCAUACAUCUUAUUUAAUUUCUGUUGUUUAUUUAUUUAUUUUUAUUUGAUGUUAAGAUUAAGGGGGAUUAGCUCCUUGUUCUGUUUUUAUAAUUUGUCUUUGGUUUAAUUUAGUUUUGUGGAUUUUAUGGUGAUUUUCUAUUUGAUUAUGUUAAAAUUUUAUUUGUUCUUUUUUUAAUUUUUUAUUAUUUAAGUUAUUUAUUGAAAUGUUUUCUUUACUUUAGUUUGUAUAGUAAUUAUUGUGUAAUUAGUAAAUUUUAUUGGUUGUUUUGUGAGAUGGUAGGUGUUAAUUACUUUUGAGGAAUUCGGCAAAGUUUUAUGUCCGCCUGUUUAACAAAAACAUCUUUUCUUGUUAGUUUUUGAAGUAUGGCCUGCCCACUGACUUAGAGUUGAAGGGCCGCGGUAUUUUGACCGUGCAAAGGUAGCAUAAUCAUUAGUUCUUUAAUUGUGAUCUGGUAUGAAUGGCUUGACGAGACAUAAGCUGUCUUAGAAGUAUUGAUUUAUUGAAUUUGGUUUUUGAGUUAAAAUUCUUAAAUGUUUUUAUGGGACGAGAAGACCCUAUAGAGUUUGACAAUUUUCCUAUUUAUUCAUUGUUUGUUUAUUUACAUUGAGUGGGAGUGAAUUGUUUUGUUGGGGUGAUGGGAGGAAUAUUGUUUAACUCCUCUUUGUUUUUAUAUAUUUAU